AGUACAUAGAUCACUCGUUGCAUGCUGAGACAUGAAUUCACAUUACUACCACUUCGGAAAGUAUCAAUAUCCUACGUGUAAAAUGGACUAGAAGAUACUGAUAAUAUUAAUUGUUUUAUGCAAUAUGGCAAUACAGCAGAUCACUCAAGGCUUGCUGAGACAUGACUACGCAUUCAUACCACUUGGGAAAAUAUCAUCAUCCUACGUUGAAAAUUAACUAGAAGAUACUGAUAAUUAUAUAGGUUUUAUGCAAUGUACGUGAAAUGGCUAUUGAAUGUAAUUGAUAGUAAUUUAAUAGUAGUGUAACAAUUGAAAUUUGUUAAAAAUCUGAAUAAAGGAUUGGGAAACACCUUUA
Long non-coding RNA from Rhopalosiphum padi (bird cherry-oat aphid), 355 nucleotides. RefSeq lists it as uncharacterized. NCBI's taxonomy places the organism in Eukaryota, Metazoa, Arthropoda, Insecta, Hemiptera, Aphididae. The record is from RefSeq and is a predicted model, not a curated record. The transcript has 2 exons.